Molecule: transfer RNA, 73 nt
Filed under: Sphaerodactylus townsendi
Lineage: Eukaryota; Metazoa; Chordata; Lepidosauria; Squamata; Sphaerodactylidae
Description: tRNA-Leu
Rfam family: tRNA
About the family: Transfer RNA (tRNA) molecules are approximately 80 nucleotides in length. Their secondary structure includes four short double-helical elements and three loops (D, anti-codon, and T loops). Further hydrogen bonds mediate the characteristic L-shaped molecular structure. tRNAs have two regions of fundamental functional importance: the anti-codon, which is responsible for specific mRNA codon recognition, and the 3' end, to which the tRNAs corresponding amino acid is attached (by aminoacyl-tRNA synthetases). tRNAs cope with the degeneracy of the genetic code in two manners: having more than one tRNA (with a specific anti-codon) for a particular amino acid; and 'wobble' base-pairing, i.e. permitting non-standard base-pairing at the 3rd anti-codon position.
Source: RNAcentral
GCCAGAAUAGUUUAGUGGCUAAAGCGUUGGGCCUAGGAUUUGGGGGACCUGAGUUCAAAUUUCAGUUCUGUCG